GCAAACUUGGUCAUUUAGAGGAAGUAAAAGUCGUAACAAGGUUUCCGUAGGUGAACCUGCGGAAGGAUCAUUAAUGAGUUUUUGAAAGUGGGGAGUCUGUUGCUGGUGCGGAAACGCAUAUGUGCACGGCUUUCCGUGCUCAAUCCACUCAACCCCUGUGCACCUUAUCGAAGUUGAGUAACCUCUACUUUUCUGGCCGUAUGCAGAGGGUGAAAGGGUUGCAAGUAGUAAGUAAGGCAAAAGUCUGAAAGCGAAAGUAGUCUGUGCCCCUUGCUCAUCCGAAGAGUGGUGGUGAAAGCUUUGACUUUUUUAUUACAAACCCUUUGCAUGUAUUGUGGGAUGUUUAUUAGCUCCUGGUGGGCAAAAUAAAUACAACUUUCAACAACGGAUCUCUUGGCUCUCGCAUCGAUGAAGAACGCAGC
RNAcentral lists this unclassified non-coding RNA (422 nucleotides) under uncultured fungus. RNAcentral describes it as "partial contains small subunit ribosomal RNA, internal transcribed spacer 1, and 5.8S ribosomal RNA". The stretch from base 1 to 73 matches the Rfam family "Eukaryotic small subunit ribosomal RNA", at positions 1759 to 1831 of the family's 1831-position model. The record is from RNAcentral. Lineage: Eukaryota; Fungi.